AGAUUAAGUUAUUAAGGGCGCACGGUGGAUGCCUUGGCACUAGAAGCCGAUGAAGGACGUUACUAACGACGAUAUGCUUUGGGGAGCUGUAAGUAAGCUUUGAUCCAGAGAUUUCCGAAUGGGGAAACCCAGCAUGAGUUAUGUCAUGUUAUCGAUAUGUGAAUACAUAGCAUAUCAGAAGGCACACCCGGAGAACUGAAACAUCUUAGUACCCGGAGGAAGAGAAAGAAAAUUCGAUUCCCUUAGUAGCGGCGAGCGAAACGGGAAGAGCCCAAACCAACAAGCUUGCUUGUUGGGGUUGUAGGACACUCUAUACGGAGUUACAAAGGACGACAUUAGACGAAUCAUCUGGAAAGAUGAAUCAAAGAAGGUAAUAAUCCUGUAGUCGAAAAUGUUGUCUCUCUUGAGUGGAUCCUGAGUACGACGGAGCACGUGAAAUUCCGUCGGAAUCUGGGAGGACCAUCUCCUAAGGCUAAAUACUCUCUAGUGACCGAUAGUGAACCAGUACCGUGAGGGAAAGGUGAAAAGCACCCCGGAAGGAGAGUGAAAUAGAACCUGAAACCGUGUGCUUACAAGUAGUCAGAGCCCGUUAAUGGGUGAUGGCGUGCCUUUUGUAGAAUGAACCGGCGAGUUACGAUUUGAUGCAAGGUUAAGCAGUAAAUGUGGAGCCGUAGCGAAAGCGAGUCUGAAUAGGGCGUUUAGUAUUUGGUCGUAGACCCGAAACCAGGUGAUCUACCCUUGGUCAGGUUGAAGUUCAGGUAACACUGAAUGGAGGACCGAACCGACUUACGUUGAAAAGUGAGCGGAUGAACUGAGGGGAGAGGAGAAAGGAAAAGAGAAAAGGGAGAGAGCGGGUUCGCUCCGUUAUCGCUUUUUUUCUCUCCUCCCCUCUUUCUUUUUCCAAGUAGAGCACUGUUUGGACGAGGGGCCCCUCUCGGGUUACCGAAUUCAGACAAACUCCGAAUGC
Molecule: ribosomal RNA, 967 nt
Filed under: Staphylococcus aureus
Lineage: Bacteria; Bacillati; Bacillota; Bacilli; Caryophanales; Staphylococcaceae
Description: bacterial LSU rRNA
Rfam family: Bacterial large subunit ribosomal RNA
Source: RNAcentral